RNAcentral lists this ribosomal RNA (440 nucleotides) under uncultured bacterium. RNAcentral describes it as "partial 16S ribosomal RNA". It matches the Rfam family "Bacterial small subunit ribosomal RNA", at positions 338 to 795 of the family's 1533-position model. The record is from RNAcentral.
CCUACGGGAGGCAGCAGUGGGGAAUAUUGCACAAUGGGGGAAACCCUGAUGCAGCGACGCCGCGUGAGUGAAGAAGUAAUUCGUUAUGUAAAGCUCUAUCAGCAGGGAAGAAAAUGACGGUACCUGAGUAAGAAGCCCCGGCUAACUACGUGCCAGCAGCCGCGGUAAUACGUAGGGGGCAAGCGUUAUCCGGAUUUACUGGGUGGAAAGGGAGCGUAGACGGCAGUGCAAGUCUGUAGUGAAAGGCGGGGGCUCAACCCCCGGACUGCUCUGGAAACUGUACGGCUGGAGUGCAGGAGAGGUAAGUGGAAUUCCUAGUGUAGCGGUGAAAUGCGUAGAUAUUAGGAGGAACACCAGUGGCGAAGGCGGCUUACUGGACUGUAACUGACGUUGAGGCUCGAAAGCGUGGGGAGCAAACAGGAUUAGAUACCCCUGUAGUC